UAUGGUUCUUAGAUUAGAUAAGACUACCCGCUGAAUUUAAGCAUAUAACUAAGCGGAGGAAAAGAAACUAACAAGGAUUCCCCUAGUAACGGCGAGUGAAGCGGGAAGAGCUCACCAUGUGAAUCUCUAUAACCAGCAAUGGUAUAGCGAAUUGUGGUCUGGAGAAGUAUUGUCGGCCGUGAAUCCGGGCCAAGUCUCUUGGAAAAGGGCAGCUGAGAGGGUGAAACUCCCGUUCUUGCCUGGAAUCAUUGCGCUCUGGCACAUGCUUUAUACGAGUCGAGUUGUUUGGGAUUACAGCUCAAAGUAUGUCGUAACUUCGAUAUAAAGCUAAAUAUUGGUGGGACACCGAUAGUGUACAAGUACCGUGAGGGAAAGAUGCAAAGAACUUUGAAAAGAGAGUUAAAGAGUACCUGAAAUUGUUAAAAGGGAAGCGAAGGAAACCAGUGUUUGGCGAAUCCAUUCUUCCCAAGCUACUUGUAGUUUGGGCGCUGUGGUUAGCAAUAGUCAGCAUUGGCUUAAUGUGGGUCAAACGUUUGGUGGGUAGGCGGCUCUUCGGAGUUAGUGCCCAUCUUUCAUGCUCUGGAUUGGGCUGAGGUCAGUCACUCUGUGCUCGUGAAGCUGGCAAAAUGGUUUUCUUUACCCCGUCUUGAAACACGGACCAAGGAGUCUAA
Molecule: ribosomal RNA, 671 nt
Filed under: uncultured Minidiscus
Lineage: Eukaryota; Bacillariophyta; Thalassiosirophyceae; Thalassiosirales; Thalassiosiraceae
Description: eukaryotic LSU rRNA
Rfam family: Eukaryotic large subunit ribosomal RNA
Source: RNAcentral